RNAcentral lists this ribosomal RNA (561 nucleotides) under uncultured bacterium. Its description in RNAcentral is "bacterial SSU rRNA". It matches the Rfam family "Bacterial small subunit ribosomal RNA", at positions 338 to 916 of the family's 1533-position model. The record is from RNAcentral.
CCUACGGGAGGCAGCAGUGGGGAAUAUUGGACAAUGGGCGAAAGCCUGAUCCAGCAAUGCCGCGUGAGUGAUGAAGGCCUUCGGGUCGUAAAGCUCUUUUACCAGGGAUGAUAAUGACAGUACCUGGAGAAUAAGCUCCGGCUAACUCCGUGCCAGCAGCCGCGGUAAUACGGAGGGAGCUAGCGUUGUUCGGAAUUACUGGGCGUAAAGAGUACGUAGGCGGUUAUUCAAGUCAGAGGUGAAAGCCCGGGGCUCAACCCCGGGAACUGCCUUUGAAACCUAGAUAACUAGAGUCUUGGAGAGGUUAGUGGAAUUCCGAGUGUAGAGGUGAAAUUCGUAGAUAUUCGGAAGAACACCAGUGGCGAAGGCGACUAACUGGACAAGUACUGACGCUGAGGUACGAAAGCGUGGGGAGCAAACAGGAUUAGAUACCCUGGUAGUCCACGCCGUAAACGAUGAUAACUAGUUGUUCGGUCACUUGGUGACUGAGUGACGCAGCUAACGCAUUAAGUUAUCCGCCUGGGGAGUACGGUCGCAGAUUAAACUCAAAGGAAUUGACGG